CCCUUCGUCCUUAUAGCAGCCUGAAGGCACCCAAGCCCGGAAGCUAAUCAGGGGUGGACUUGGCUGGGUAUUGAAUAGGGGACCGCAUGGGAAGACUAGGGCCUGGAGGCU
Molecule: ribosomal RNA, 111 nt
Organism: Cebus imitator (Panamanian white-faced capuchin)
Lineage: Eukaryota; Metazoa; Chordata; Mammalia; Primates; Cebidae
Source: Ensembl